UACGAAGGGGGCUAGCGUUGUUCGGAAUUACUGGGCGUAAAGCGUACGUAGGCGGACAUUUAAGUCAGGGGUGAAAUCCCAGAGCUCAACUCUGGAACUGCCUUUGAUACUGGGUGUCUAGAGUAUGGAAGAGGUGAGUGGAAUUCCGAGUGUAGAGGUGAAAUUCGUAGAUAUUCGGAGGAACACCAGUGGCGAAGGCGGCUCACUGGUCCAUUACUGACGCUGAGGUGCGAAAGCGUGGGGAGCAAACAGG
This 253-nucleotide ribosomal RNA is filed under the name uncultured bacterium. RNAcentral describes it as "partial 16S ribosomal RNA". It matches the Rfam family "Bacterial small subunit ribosomal RNA", at positions 524 to 776 of the family's 1533-position model. The record is from RNAcentral.